UUCCGAUGGUGAACCUGCGGAGGGAUCAUUACCGAGUUUACAACUCCCAAACCCAAUGUGAACGUUACCAAACUGUUGCCUCGGCGGGGUCACGCCCCGGGUGCGUCGCAGCCCCGGAACCAGGCGCCCGCCGGAGGAACCAACCAAACUCUUUCUGUAGUCCCCUCGCGGACGUAUUUCUUACAGCUCUGAGCAAAAAUUCAAAAUGAAUCAAAACUUUCAACAACGGAUCUCUUGGUUCUGGCAUCGAUGAAGAACGCAGCGAAAUGCGAUAAGUAAUGUGAAUUGCAGAAUUCAGUGAAUCAUCGAAUCUUUGAACGCACAUUGCGCCCGCCAGUAUUCUGGCGGGCAUGCCUGUCCGAGCGUCAUUUCAACCCUCGAACCCCUCCGGGGGAUCGGCGUUGGGGAUCGGGACCCCUCACACGGGUGCCGGCCCCGAAAUACAGUGGCGGUCUCGCCGCAGCCUCUCCUGCGCAGUAGUUUGCACAACUCGCACCGGGAGCGCGGCGCGUCCACGUCCGUAAAACACCCAACUUUCUGAAAUGUUGACCUCGGAUCAGGUAGGAAUACCCGCUGAACUUAAGCAUAUCAAUAAGCGGAGGA
Molecule: ribosomal RNA, 603 nt
Filed under: Trichoderma asperellum
Lineage: Eukaryota; Fungi; Ascomycota; Sordariomycetes; Hypocreales; Hypocreaceae
Description: eukaryotic LSU rRNA
Rfam family: 5.8S ribosomal RNA (bases 215-368)
Source: RNAcentral